RNAcentral lists this ribosomal RNA (438 nucleotides) under uncultured bacterium. RNAcentral's name for it is "bacterial SSU rRNA". It matches the Rfam family "Bacterial small subunit ribosomal RNA", at positions 494 to 933 of the family's 1533-position model. The record is from RNAcentral.
UGACUGACUGAGUGCCAGCAGCCGCGGUAAUACGUAGGCGGCAAGCGUUGUCCGGAAUUAUUGGGCGUAAAGGGAGCGCAGGCGGGAAGUUAAGCGGACUUUAAAAGUGCGGGGCUCAACCCCGUGAGGGGGUCCGAACUGACUUUCUUGAGUGCAGGAGAGGGAAGCGGAAUUCCUAGUGUAGCGGUGAAAUGCGUAGAUAUUAGGAAGAACACCAGUGGCGAAGGCGGCUUUCUGGACUGUAACUGACGCUGUGGCUCGAAAGCUAGGGUAGCGAACGGGAUUAGAUACCCCGGUAGUCCUAGCCGUAAACGAUGGAUACUAGGUGUGGGAGGUAUCGACCCCUUCCGUGCCGGAGUUAACGCAAUAAGUAUCCCGCCUGGGGAGUACGGCCGCAAGUUGAAACUCAAAGGAAUUGACGGGGGCCGCACAAGCGGU